AAGUACCUUCGGGGCUGGGUGCGGGGCCACAGGCCCCAAUUCCCGACCGGCGGUAAUCCGUCCCCGGACGGCGAGCCCGCGAGCCGCAAGGCAGGAAUCCGGUGCGAUCCCGGUGCCGACAGUAAGAGUCUGGAUGGGAGAAGGUGCGU
RNAcentral lists this non-coding RNA (149 nucleotides) under Candidatus Hydrogenisulfobacillus filiaventi. RNAcentral describes it as "FMN riboswitch aptamer (RFN element)". It matches the Rfam family "FMN riboswitch aptamer (RFN element)". From Rfam's summary of the family: The RFN element is a highly conserved domain that is found frequently in the 5'-untranslated regions of prokaryotic mRNAs that encode for flavin mononucleotide (FMN) biosynthesis and transport proteins. This element is a metabolite-dependent riboswitch that directly binds FMN in the absence of proteins. Lineage: Bacteria; Bacillati; Bacillota; Clostridia; Eubacteriales; Clostridiales Family XVII. Incertae Sedis. The record is from Rfam by way of RNAcentral.